Molecule: ribosomal RNA, 579 nt
Filed under: uncultured bacterium
Lineage: Bacteria
Description: bacterial SSU rRNA
Rfam family: Bacterial small subunit ribosomal RNA
Source: RNAcentral
ACGGGUGAGUAAUGUCUGGGGAUCUGCCCGAUAGAGGGGGAUAACCACUGGAAACGGUGGCUAAUACCGCAUAACGUCGCAAGACCAAAGGGGGGGACCUUCGGGCCUCUCACUAUCGGAUGAACCCAGAUGGGAUUAGCUAGUAGGCGGGGUAACGGCCCACCUAGGCGACGAUCCCUAGCUGGUCUGAGAGGAUGACCAGCCACACUGGAACUGAGACACGGUCCAGACUCCUACGGGAGGCAGCAGUGGGGAAUAUUGCACAAUGGGCGCAAGCCUGAUGCAGCCAUGCCGCGUGUAUGAAGAAGGCCUUCGGGUUGUAAAGUACUUUCAGCGGGGAGGAAGGCGAUGUGGUUAAUAACCGCGUCGAUUGACGUUACCCGCAGAAGAAGCACCGGCUAACUCCGUGCCAGCAGCCGCGGUAAUACGGAGGGUGCAAGCGUUAAUCGGAAUUACUGGGCGUAAAGCGCACGCAGGCGGUCUGUUAAGUCAGAUGUGAAAUCCCCGGGCUUAACCUGGGAACUGCAUUUGAAACUGGCAGGCUUGAGUCUCGUAGAGGGGGGUAGAAUUCCAGGUGUA